GAUGAACGCUGGCGGCGUGCCUAAUACAUGCAAGUCGAGCGAACGGACGAGAAGCUUGCUUCUCUGAUGUUAGCGGCGGACGGGUGAGUAACACGUGGAUAACCUACCUAUAAGACUGGGAUAACUUCGGGAAACCGGCGCUAAUACCGGAUAAUAUUUUGAACCGCAUGGUUCAAAAGUGAAAGACGGUCUUGCUGUCACUUAUAGAUGGAUCCGCGCUGCAUUAGCUAGUUGGUAAGGUAACGGCUUACCAAGGCAACGAUGCAUAGCCGACCUGAGAGAGUGAUCGGCCACACUGGAACUGAGACACGGUCCAGACUCCUACGGGAGGCAGCAGUAGGGAAUCUUCCGCAAUGGGCGAGAGCCUGACGGAGCAACGCCGCGUGAGUGAUGAAGGUCUUCGGAUCGUAAAACUCUGUUAUUAGGGAAGAACAUAUGUGUAAGUAACUGUGCACAGCUUGACGGUACCUAAUCAGAAAGCCACGGCUAACUACGUG
Molecule: ribosomal RNA, 497 nt
Filed under: uncultured bacterium
Lineage: Bacteria
Description: partial 16S ribosomal RNA
Rfam family: Bacterial small subunit ribosomal RNA
Source: RNAcentral